This 377-nucleotide ribosomal RNA is filed under the name uncultured bacterium. RNAcentral's name for it is "bacterial SSU rRNA". It matches the Rfam family "Bacterial small subunit ribosomal RNA", at positions 362 to 758 of the family's 1533-position model. The record is from RNAcentral.
UAUUGGACAAUGGGCGAAAGCCUGAUCCAGCAAUGCCGCGUGAGUGAUGAAGGCCUUAGGGUUGUAAAGCUCUUUUACCAGGGAUGAUAAUGACAGUACCUGGAGAAUAAGCUCCGGCUAACUCCGUGCCAGCAGCCGCGGUAAUACGGAGGGAGCUAGCGUUGUUCGGAAUUACUGGGCGUAAAGAGUACGUAGGCGGUGAUUCAAGUCAGAGGUGAAAGCCUGGAGCUCAACUCCAGAACUGCCUUUGAAACUAGAUCGCUAGAAUCAUGGAGAGGUUAGUGGAAUUCCGAGUGUAGAGGUGAAAUUCGUAGAUAUUCGGAAGAACACCAGUGGCGAAGGCGACUAACUGGACAUGUAUGACGCUGAGUACGAAU